UUUGCAUUCUCACAGCACAUUUUUUGUACUUCUGUUAUAACCCUAAUUUUAUUUUUCUUCAUAGAUUUUUUUGUUUUUCUAUCUUACUUAGACUAUGACCUUCUUGAAUAUAAAAACUGUGUCUUCCUCAAUUUUUAUCCAGUGUUUGGUACAGAGCUUGGUAUAUAGUAGAUAUCAAUAAGCAUUUAUCAAGUAGAAUUAAUAGUAAAAUGUCACUUUUUAAUGCAUUCUAUGUGCCAAGCACUGUGUCAUGUGUUUUACAUAUAUUAUCUCAUUGAAUCUUUACAACAACCCUAUGAGAUAGGUACUAUCAUCCUCAUUUUACAGAUGAGGGACCUGGAGCUCAGAGAGGUUAAGCAACUUGCCCGAGGUCACACAGCUGGUAAGUGUGGAGCCAGAAUUUGAACCCAGAUCCACCUGACUCCAAACCGUGCUCUAAAUGCAUAUGCUGCCUUCCAAUGAAUGAAUGAAAGGUGAGAUUUUACUGGGCCAUGUAGGGGCUAGAGAGACAAGCCUGGCAGGCAGAGAGAGCGCAAAGAAGAAGGCUUUUUCUGAAUUAGGGAAAAGCUCUGAGAACUCACGCUUAUGGAACAGACACUUACUGAACAUCUACUACAGGCCAGACAGUCUGCUGAGAUUACCAAGAUGAGUGAGAACUGCCCCCAAGGAGCUCACUGACUAAGAGGCUGGGAGAGCGGGGCAAGUGACAGGCACAUCAAGUAACAGACAUGCUGGCAUAGGAAAGGUGCUAUGGAAACACAGGGGAUAGGCAGCCAACUCCGGCUGUAGUAGUGGGAGUUUUCCUGGAGGGGGUGAGACAGUGACCACUGUGAUUACAGAAGACGACCAGGGUCUUCUAUAGCUUUGAUCCCCUCUCCACUCCCAUCCAUGAGAUGUGUGGAUUUUCCCAUGCCUUUCAGAAGAGGAUUGUUGCCUCUGGUACUUUGAUAUUAGUGGUGGUCGUUUCUAAGGGGACGGGAUGAGAGGGAUGGGUUCCUGCCGGGGAUAAAAGGGUUGUUCCUCCAUCCUAACCCAGUCACACUGAGUAGGGACUACCUAUUUCACUGAUAGCCAUGGCUCCUAAGAAUUUUGGGGGUACCUCUGUUCACUGCAGCCUGACCAAAAAUUCCUCCCCACCUCACUGCAGGUUAUAAGACCCUUCUCAAGUGCCUCUCAGGUAAAUUCUGCCGCCGGGAGCUGAUUGGCAUCAUGGGCCCCUCAGGGGCUGGCAAGUCUACAUUCAUGAACAUCUUGGCAGGAUACAGGGAGUCUGGAAUGAAGGGGCAGAUCCUGGUUAAUGGAAGGCCACGGGAACUGAGGACCUUCCGCAAGAUGUCCUGCUACAUCAUGCAAGAUGACAUGCUGCUGCCACACCUCACGGUGUUGGAAGCCAUGAUGGUCUCUGCUAACCUGAAGCUGAGUGAGAAGCAGGAGGUGAAGAAGGAGCUGGUGACAGAGAUCCUGACGGCACUGGGCCUGAUGUCGUGCUCCCACACGAGGACAGCCCUGCUCUCUGGCGGGCAGAGGAAGCGUCUGGCCAUCGCCCUGGAGCUGGUCAACAACCCGCCUGUCAUGUUCUUUGAUGAGCCCACCAGUGGUCUGGAUAGCGCCUCUUGUUUCCAAGUGGUGUCCCUCAUGAAGUCCCUGGCACAGGGGGGCCGCACCAUCAUCUGCACCAUCCACCAGCCCAGUGCCAAGCUCUUUGAGAUGUUUGACAAGCUCUACAUCCUGAGCCAGGGUCAGUGCAUCUUCAAAGGCGUGGUAACCAACCUGAUCCCCUAUCUAAAGGGACUCGGCUUGCAUUGCCCCACCUACCACAACCCGGCUGACUUCAUCAUCGAGGUGGCCUCUGGCGAGUAUGGAGACCUGAACCCCAUGUUGUUCAGGGCUGUGCAAAAUGGGCUGUGCGCCAUGGCUGAGAAGAAGAGCAGCCCUGAGAAGAACGAGGUCCCUGCCCCCUGCCCCCCUUGUCCUCCGGAAGUGGAUCCCAUUGAAAGCCACACCUUUGCUACCAGCACCCUCACACAGUUCUGCAUCCUCUUCAAGAGGACCUUCCUGUCCAUCCUCAGGGACACGGUGAGGCGUCAGGCUGGGGGAGAGGAGGUUGGCACAGGCCUGACUUUUUGGGCUGUAGGAUCCCAGCAGCUGAGAUGGGAAUGGGGACCCUCCCUCACAGCCCUGCAAUGUGCCUGUGGGUCUCUGUGCCUGUGAGGGCAGCUCCGAGUUCCUACUCCAGGCUUACUCUGAGGCUUGCCCUGGCCUGUAACACAUCCCUCUCCUGGUGAUGACCCCUCCCAAGGUCCUGACCCACCUACGGUUCAUGUCCCACGUGGUUAUUGGCGUGCUCAUCGGCCUCCUCUACCUGCAUAUUGGCGACGAUGCCAGCAAGGUCUUCAACAACACCGGCUGCCUCUUCUUCUCCAUGCUGUUCCUCAUGUUCGCCGCCCUCAUGCCAACUGUGCUCACCUUCCCCUUAGAGAUGGCAGUCUUCAUGAGGGAGCACCUCAACUACUGGUACAGCCUCAAAGCGUAUUACCUGGCCAAGACCAUGGCUGACGUGCCCUUUCAGGUGGUGUGUCCGGUGGUGUACUGCAGCAUUGUGUACUGGAUGACGGGCCAGCCCGCUGAGACCAGCCGCUUCCUGCUCUUCUCAGCCCUGGCCACCGCCACCGCCUUGGUGGCCCAAUCUUUGGGGCUGCUGAUCGGAGCUGCUU
Molecule: small RNA, 2714 nt
Filed under: Pongo abelii (Sumatran orangutan)
Lineage: Eukaryota; Metazoa; Chordata; Mammalia; Primates; Hominidae
Description: retained intron
Source: RNAcentral